GGUGGUAAUUUGUGCCGUUUGUUCUUGUCCUUCUUGCAGCCAGGGAAGGAACAAAGGCAGAGGUUGGAGCAUGUUCCUUUCUUCACAGUGUUCUCUGGAGUUCACUGGCAAAAUCAAAAGAGGAAUUGUAGUGUAAUGGAGCGUCCUUGACAAUGGGUUGCUUCUUCGGAGUUCUGAGUAUAUUCCUCUCAGCAGAGCCCUGGGAAAUGGGCAGUUGGUGUGGAUCUUGGCAGCUGACACAGAUGACAGGACAAAGGAGCAUACAUGGAAAUAAAAUGAAAAUUCAGAACAGAUGUCAGGACACAUUUUUCAUGCUGAAUGUGCAGAGUGGCCAACCAGGAAAAGAAUAAUAGUGGAAAUGAGACCAUUGCCCCUUCAUCAUCACUCCUUUGCUGCUUUCAAAGUCCUAGAAGAUACCGGAAAUGUAGUCAUGGAGUGUAUUUCAAGGAAUCUCAAGUAAAGCAAGGAGAAGCUCUAUGAAGCCUUUCAGUAUUGGAUACCAAUUAAAAAGACAUUUAGUUGAGGCUGAUCUUCAGUUGCUUAGGUCUGUUUUUAAGUACCUAGUUUGGUUUUUGAAUUUUCCUAUUAGAAGCAGUCAUCUGGUUUCAGGGUGCUGCUAUGCUUGCACAGAAAUGCCCAUUUUUGUUUCUGUUCAGUAAUAAAUUACAAAAUUAUUACUUUACCCAAAAUAGCCAGUCUUAAAUAUUUGGUAUCUAAGGUACGCUCUUGGACACAGUAGUGUAAAUUGUGUCAAUCCCAUAGAAUUUAUCAUGCGUAUUAAUAGUUAGACUUCCUUCCUUGUAUUCCAGGUGUGGCAGUUCAACGUAUUAAGCAUAUUCACUAAAAGACUGCAAUAAGGAUAAAAGGAUGUUUUCUUGGUUAUGGCACAGGGCCAUUGUCCUUUACCAUAGAAAUUUUUUUAUGUAUCUCAGGCAAGCAAUGCUUUUAAGGAGUUACUUCAUUGUCUUUCUUCUCUUUUGGAAGACCUAGCUGGAGAUACAAUACUUUAAUUUGCUGAAGCAUAUAUAGGUGCAACUGAUUGAGCUAAAUAGUCUGAGGCAGAUACUUUGGACCUGAGAAUUAGAACCAAAAUAAGGUAGAUGUAUUUAAUUUAUGUGCUGUUCCUGUCUGUAAGAGCUGUUAAUAUUCCCUUAACUCAUGGAUAUGUAUUUAGGUAAAACCCCAGAAUGUUAUAAUAUGUAUUACCAAAAGUCACAGAGGACUUAGCAAUUCCAUUUUCAAAACUGGGCUUGGACAGUACUUUAUAAAUAAAGUCAGAGGCAGUACAUUGAACAAUAAAGAGAAAAAAUUUUGAACAGCUGCUACACUAGUAUUCCUUUCUAAUCUUAGAUGCAGGAUCUUGCAGAAAAUUGACAGAUUUUAAGUAAGGAGGCUGAAUUAAGUUUAUGCAGGCAACCUUCUUUUUUUAUUUCUACCUUUGAGGUCUUGAAUUUUUACCCCUCGUAACACCACUCUUUUAACAGUUACUUAGUAUAUAAUACACAAAGAAUAAGAAAUUCUAUACUUCUGAUUAUUGUGUUUGCAAAGCAUACAAUGCAUAUAUAUAUAUAAUUUAUAUAUAUAUAUAUUUGCAUAUAAAUGCACUUUGAAUAUUUAAAAAGUAUACAAUGCAUAUGCAUUCCUGAAGAAAUAGACCAGGAAUAUUUGAGAUAAUCUUGUUUGUUGUUAAAGAUUGCUUAUUCUGUUGCUGACUAUAUAUUCAGUUUGCCAAGGGAAUUUAUAGAAGUAGAAAAGAAUGUCAAAGCCUGAAGUGGCAUUUCCAAGUAAUGAUAGCUGUUUCUACUGUACUAUACUUUUUCUGCUGUACUGUACUGUUAUUGAUACAACUGAAUGUCUGUCCAAAUUUCUGUGGAUUCAGUGAUGCCUUAGGCAAUUUUGUAUCUCAAAUGCAACAAUCUGCCACACAUACAGCCAAAAAGUUUGAGAACCUGCUCUAAAUAUCUCUGAGGUUGCAAAUUCACAAUCCAGGGCCAUAUGCUGUUGUAAGUUUCAGCAUGCUGAUGCAGAAGAGUUCAAAUGUCCUGCACCUCAUUGGCAGUAAACAGUAGACAAAGAGCGACCUGACUGAGGUGACUGCUUAGGGAUUGGUGGCCCUACAGAUGGCACGAUGGAGAGUAAUCAGAUGUUCUAGAUUCAUUGCAGCAGUGGCCAAGAGAGAAAAGUUGUAUUCUGCUGACUUCUCCUGAAUUUGUUUACCUUACAUGAUGGUAAAUGAAUUUAUGAAUGCAAUAAUAUUGGUACAAGAUGAA
Long non-coding RNA from Oxyura jamaicensis (ruddy duck), 2270 nucleotides. RefSeq lists it as uncharacterized. The transcript is spliced from 4 exons. Lineage: Eukaryota; Metazoa; Chordata; Aves; Anseriformes; Anatidae. The record is from RefSeq and is a predicted model, not a curated record.